GAUGAACGCUAGCGGCAGGCCUAACACAUGCAAGUCGAGGGAGAAGCCUUUCUUGUCUGUAACCGGCGCACGGGUGCUUAACGCGUUUGCAACCUACCUUUCACACUCGUAUAGUCCGAAUAAAUUUGGAUUAAUACCCCAUAAUAUUGUUGGAUCGCAUCUUCUGAUAUUUAAAACUGCGGUUGUGAAAUUUUUGCAUGCUUCCUAUUAGCUAGUUGUAGUGGUAACGGCACCCCAAGGCUACGAUAGGUAGGGGUCCUGAGAGUGAGAUCCCCCACAGUGGUACUGAGACAGGGAAAAGACUCCUACGGGACGCAGCAGUGAGGAAUAUUGGUGAAUGGUAGGAAGACUGAACCAGCCAUGCCGGGUGCAGGAAGAAUGCCUUAUGGGUUGUAAACUGCUUUUAUAGGGGAAGAAUAAGGUGUACGUGUACAUUGAUGACGGUACCAUAUGAAUAAGCAUCGGCUAACUCCGUG
RNAcentral lists this ribosomal RNA (476 nucleotides) under uncultured bacterium. RNAcentral's name for it is "partial 16S ribosomal RNA". It matches the Rfam family "Bacterial small subunit ribosomal RNA", at positions 28 to 507 of the family's 1533-position model. The record is from RNAcentral.